AGAAACUAAGGCUCAGAAAGAUGCUUUGCCCAACAUCAGCUCAUCAGUACCGUUAACUCGAUGUUCCACUCUUGGAAGCUUUCAUCUGGUAGCCCCAUGAAACUGAAGAAUAAAUACAACAAAUUGUUCAGCUUAUAGAGUAGCACCCUCAGAAAUUAUGAAGCAGCAAAGCCAAAUCUCCAAACAUGUGAAGAGUUCUGUG
This is a long non-coding RNA of Pongo pygmaeus (Bornean orangutan), 202 nucleotides long. RefSeq lists it as uncharacterized. The transcript is spliced from 3 exons. The record is from RefSeq and is a predicted model, not a curated record. Lineage: Eukaryota; Metazoa; Chordata; Mammalia; Primates; Hominidae.